GAUGAACGCUGGCGGCGUGCUAAUACAUGCAAGUCGAACGGGCUGCCAUAAGGCAGCCAGUGGCGAACGGGUGAGGAGCACAUGGGGAACCUGCCCGUCAGAGGGGGACAACAGCUGGAAACGGCUGCUAAGACCGCAUAGGCUCAAGGAGGGCAUCCUCGUUGAGUUAAAGUGUCCUUUCGGGGACAGCUGACGGAUGGACCUGUGGCGCAUUAGCCAGUUGGCGGGGUAAAGGCCCACCAAGGCGACGAUGCGUAGCCGGCCUGAGAGGGCGGACGGCCACACUGGGACUGAGACACGGCCCAGACUCCUCGGGAGGCAGCAGUAGGGAAUUUUCGGCAAUGGGGGGAACCCUGACCGAGCAACGCCGCGUGAGUGAGGAAGGCCUUCGGGCUGUAAAGCUCUGUUGCAGAGGAAGAACGGGAGAGCGAGGAAAUGCGCUUUUUCGUGACGGUACUCUGCGAGAAAGCCACGGCUAACUA
RNAcentral lists this ribosomal RNA (482 nucleotides) under Eggerthia catenaformis. RNAcentral's name for it is "bacterial SSU rRNA". It matches the Rfam family "Bacterial small subunit ribosomal RNA", at positions 28 to 503 of the family's 1533-position model. The record is from RNAcentral. Lineage: Bacteria; Bacillati; Bacillota; Erysipelotrichia; Erysipelotrichales; Coprobacillaceae.